Long non-coding RNA from Patella vulgata (common limpet), 5328 nucleotides. RefSeq lists it as uncharacterized. The record is from RefSeq and is a predicted model, not a curated record. The transcript is spliced from 2 exons. NCBI's taxonomy places the organism in Eukaryota, Metazoa, Mollusca, Gastropoda, Patellidae.
AGCCAAUCGAAUUGCAGUAUUUCUUAAAAUUUCGAUUGUAUCUUAGUUUAAGUUUACGUGAAUAAGGGCCCAGAUGAAUACUGAUGAUCAAAUAUGAUUUUUAUGAAUGAAAAGAGUUAUCCUAAAUACUAGUGCUAACGUACAUGUAAAUAUCUGAAUAUACAAAUUUGCAUAGUUUUUCCAAUUCUAUACAAACCAUUUUCUUUUUUUAUUUAUUUCUUAUCCGGUGUCAUUUAAAUGUAUAACCAAUAGAAUAUUUUAAUAAUGACUUAAAAUAUUCAGAUGGUAAAAUCUGAAUUUGAUGUGACCACUAUUUAAUGUCCCAUUUAGUCUUUGCAUGUAAUAUUAAUAAUAAUAUUUCCAUUCAGGGGUGGAUCCAGACAGCGGGGGGGGGAGGGGGGAGUCCAAACCCCACCCUGCUCAGCCACAUAAAAAAUUUUGUAAAACAAUGGUUGUGUGCUUUAUCCUUUAUCAUCAGAUGGCGGGAUGGGGUUGGUAUUCAAAGCGCGAAAUAAUGAUAAAGACAAGACAUGUGUGAUAUCACAAUUAAUGCUUAGCAUCAAUAAAAUUGAAUCACAAUGGAUUUCUCUCUUUAAAAGCUCAAUGUGUAUGUAUGUCUACGUAAUUCAGAGACGAUGAUGGCAUCAUGCAUUGUCUACUGUCAAAUUUCCUUAAAAGAAGCCUGGCGGCCCCCCACCUGUAAUAAUUCCUGGAUCCGCCCCUUCCAUUAUAAAGUGUUAGAUGCUCAAAACCUGCUCAUAGUGGCUCAAUAGGCCAUGGGAGUCUAAAAUCAAAAGUUGUAGGCAUCUAAAUGACAGCAUUCUGAUCAAAAUACAGAUCUAUAUUUUUUUAUACUUUCGAUGGCCUACACUACAUGAAGAUCUGACCAGUUGUUUUGGGAGGUCACGUUAGAGGUCAUACGAGUGGCUUUUGACCCUAUGAUGUCGGACAUUUGAUUAACCAACCAGCAUUGAUGUUUCUAGUGGAUUACCCACAGUUCCGUGCACCUCGCGCCAAAAGCUUACCAUAACAGACCAUUUCAUUGGCUAAUCCCUCACAUCAUCCAGAACACGUCAAUGCUAACAACUCUUCCAGAUCCUAGUGUAGUAAAGACAAGUUAAACAAAAUUUUGAACUAUAAAAAAACAAAACGAAAUAGGAUCUGUGUUUUAAUCAGAUUGAAAUGACAGUUACAUAUAGAAUACCGGUGUUUGAAUUAUUUUAAGUCUGAAAUGAAAUUAUACUAAUUGUACUAAUUGUUUUAAUUAUAAUGUGUGUAUAUGAGACUAUAUAUUUAUUUGUUAUUUAGUUUGAAUGAUUUAUUUAAUGAUAUAAAAUAUACUACUGUCUGAGCCAUGGUAAAAAAAUAUAGUGUUUACGUCCCAAGUGAAAUGGGGUUUAACGUGCUACUGUUCUACACUGACUGAGCUAAUGAAGAAAGGCAAACAUCAUACAGUGUGCUAUGAGGGAAUUUUGUCCGGACAGCGACGUUACCACAUACUUAUAUCAAAUUCCAACUGCUAAGGGAUCUUUUGCAUGCACGUCAAUGUGCACACAGGAAUUCCAACUGCCAAGGGAUCUCUUGUGUACACAGGACCAGUUUUUCGUCCCAUCCGAACGACUAUAUGUCAUCCCUUACCAGGUCCUUUGUUCAGCACUGGGGAUCAUGUGGCUAAGUGGGUAAGACGCUGGCUCGCUAGCCUGGAGGUCGGGUGUUCGAUCCCUGCAUUGGCUGAGAAAGUUCAUCCAGAUUUUCCGGCGUGGUUCUCCCUUGUCAGUGAUGCAGGACGGAGGGGCUGACAAGGAAAGCUGUCUAGUCUUUCGGAUGGGACGGAAAACCGAGGUCCCGUGUACACAUUAGUGUGCACGUAAAAGAUCCCUUGGCAGUUGGAAUUCGAUAUAAGAGUAGGCCGUAGUGCCGCUGCCCGGGCAAAAUUUCCCUCAUAGCACACUGUAUGGCGUAUGCCCGUCUUCAUUAGCCCAGGUUAGGAGCAGAACAGUAGGACGUUAAACCCCAUUUCAUUUCAUUUCAUUUGUUGAGCACUACUGACAAGGGGGGACCACGCUGGAAAAUCCUGAUGAACUUUCUCAGCCAACACUGAGAUCGAACACGGGACCUCCAGAUUAGGGAGCCAACAUCUUACUCACUGCGACUGGCGUAGUUUCGAAUCCCCGGUUGUACGUGGCAAGGAGUAGGGUCGCCUGUCCAACCUCGUGGGUUUUCUCCGGGUCCUCCGGUUUCCUCCCACUGCUAAAGACCCCUAGGCGCAAGCGAAUUGUGUAAAUAAAAUUAAAACCAUAUGUUAGUCCCGAAAUGACCUAGUUUGUGUCGAGUGGACGUUAAACCCCAUUUCUCUCUCUCUCUUACUCACUGAGCCACCAUGGCUCUCAUGUCCCAUAUGAACAAUUUAUUUAAAGAUACAUUAAGGGAGAUUAGAUAAAGAGCUGGCGGGGAUGUCGUGGCUAAGUGUGUAAGACUCUGACUCGCUAGCCUGGAGGUCGGGUGUUCGAUCCCUGCACUGGCCGAGAAAGUUCAUCCAUAUUUUCCCGCGUGGUUUCCCCCUUGUCAGUGAUGCAGGACGACGGAGGGCCUGAACAAGGAUGGCUGUCUAGUCCUUCGGAUGAUAUGAAAAACCGAGGUCCCAUGUAUGCAUUGGAAUGCACGUAAAAGAUCCCUUGGCAGUUGGAAUUCGAUAUAAGAGUAGGCGAUAGUGCCGCUGCUCGAGCAAAAUUUCCCUCAUAGCACACUGUAUGGCGUAUGCCCGUUUUCAUUAGCCCAGCAUAGGAGCAGAACAGUAGGACGUUAAACCCCAUUUCAUUUCAUUUUCAAAGAGCUGGCAGUUCUCUCUAUAAUAGUUAAAAACUACAUAAUGUAAAAGGAAUUUGCUGACAAUUUCAGUCAAAUUGAUACACUCAAUUUUAGCGAUUAAAUUUUCAGCCUAGCCUUGAUUAUCAUUACUUAAGUCGGUACGAUAAAAAACAGUCUCGAUUAUCCAUUUAAUGAUUAAAUCAUGAAUGAAAGUUUACCAGUAAAUCGAAUCAUAAUCCACUAAAUAUCGCAGGCUAGCGAUGACAUCGAGAAUUGAUUAUGGUCUGGAUAAGUUAAUUAAUGUCUAAUUAAUAAUUUAGAUAACAUUUCAGGCCUAAAAAAAGACCUGCAAUAGACAGAUUCAGCUCUUGCAUAAUGUAUGUUUAAUGGAGCUGUCCAAGUUUUAUUUGGGAGAAUAAAACUGCUUAAUUUUGUUUGAAAGUGCUUUACAAACCUUUAUCUUAGUCCCCAAGAAACUACAUGUACCUCAAAUUAUGUAAUAAAUUUUUAUAAACUAAAAAAACGUCAGCUUAACUCUGGGUUUGAAGAUUGGCGUCCUGGCUACAUCAUACAAUGUGUCCGGACUCCGGAUAAAACAAGACUAUGCAUGAGCAGACAUACCGCAUACAAACAAUCACACUGAUCAGCAGUGAAUUUUCACUUGGCCGCUAAUGAGACGUCACGUGUUGAAAGUAAUCAUCUUUUACAGAGAUAUUAGAAGACUUUCGUAAUCCUCUGUGAAACAGAUUGACAAACAAUAACAAAAGACAGGACACAAAGGUACACCUCAGAUCAAGGGAAUGGAUACAGGACAAAAUAUUUUUAUUGUUUUACUAUGGUUCAGACAGUAAUUAGUGUUAAUUUUUACUAUAAUAGCAGGUUGAUGUAGAUUUGUUGUCUGAUAAUACAGAUCUAUUUUUCGUUUCGUUUUUUUUUUAUACAUUCGAUGUCCUACACUACAUGAAGAUCUGACCGGUUGUAUUGGGAGGUCGCGUCAGGGGUCAUAUGAGUGACUUUUGACCCUAUGACUUCAGACAUUGAUUAAUCAAUCAGCGUUGACGUUUUCAGGGGUUUACCCACAGUUCCGUGCAGAGCACACUAAGAACUCGCCAUAACAGAUCGUUUCAUUGGCUAAUCCCGCACAUCAACUAGAACACCUGUUAUAUAACAACUCUUCCAGAUCCUAGUGUAGUAAUGAGAAGUAAAACGAAAUUUUGAACUAUAAGAAAUUAAACGAAAUAGAAUCUGUGUUUUAAUCAGAAUCAAAGUUAAUUAACCCUACAUGUAUUUCCGGAAGCUGACAACGACUUCCAUUGAACUAGUACUGUGUCAGUUAACCUAAAAUGAUGAGAAAAUUUUAAAGUAGCAUCCCUGGUAAAGAAGGAAAUUAUAUUUUUGAAAUAGCUCCAGGGAUGCCAUUUAAAAAUUUUCUUAUCAGACAUUUUAUUUGGGGUUAACAGACACACGUGGAGAGAGAGAGAUGGGGUUUAAAGUCCACUCGACAUAAACUAGGUGAUUUCGGGAAUAACAUAUGGUUCAAUUUUAUUUCAAUAAUUCGCUUGCGCGUAGGGGUCUUAGCAGUGGGAGGACCCAGAGAAAACCCACGAGAUUGGACACGCGACCCUACUCCUCGUCACAACCAGGUAAUCGAAACCAUCCCAGUCGACUCAAUAACAGACCGUAUGAUACAGCGCGCACGUGCUAACCAUUCGGCCAUACACCCCCCCAACGCACGUAGAGCACUAUUGAUGCAUUAGCUUUCUGGUGAUCGAACAUCUCAGAUUCAUCAGGGUUUUUUUCUUGCAAUUGAUGGACAUUGCAUCAAGUUCUUGUAUUGAUCUUUUAGAGGAAUUUAGUAACUGGAUUGAGCAAUGAACUAUAACACAUACAUGGAAGAACAUUUACUGAUUUAUUUAGGCGACGUUUCAAGAAAGUAGGGAGAAUACUCUUCUAAAAGUCGGCCAAAUAAAUCAAUAAUUGUUCUUCUGUAAGUAUGUGUUACAGUUUAUUAUUUGUAUUGUCUUUAGAAAUUACUAUAUUUAAACAAACAAAUAGACAUACUUAUGUAUUGUUAAAUGGUCGAGAGCGAGACAUUGCGUAAUAUAUUGUAACAACAAGAGGGCCAUGCGCCCCGAGUGUUUUUACAAUAUAUUACGCAAUGUCUUAAGCUCGAGACCAUUAAACGACUUAAAAUACAAACACAUGCUUUCACAGUGAAAUACGUCAUGCGAGUCCAAUAUUUCACUACUAUAAAUAAUAUACAAUUGGCAAGUUGCCCAUACGAUUAUUUGAAAUAAUGGUACUCCAACAUCAAAGGGUGAUGUCACAUCUGUAUUUUAAAGUCAUUGAUUGUCAUUGUAUAUUACACGGCUUACUCAAAGAUUUUUUAGUCUGCUUUAAAAUGUACUCAAAUUAAUUACUCUAUAAUUAUUAGAGAAAACAGCUAUCAACUGUAACUAAUCUCCUAGUUUGGAUUUAAUUGAAAUGAAAAAGGACAAUAAAGAUUUUACACAACACUUA